Molecule: ribosomal RNA, 253 nt
Filed under: Blautia wexlerae DSM 19850
Lineage: Bacteria; Bacillati; Bacillota; Clostridia; Lachnospirales; Lachnospiraceae
Description: partial 16S ribosomal RNA
Rfam family: Bacterial small subunit ribosomal RNA
Source: RNAcentral
UACGUAGGGGGCAAGCGUUAUCCGGAUUUACUGGGUGUAAAGGGAGCGUAGACGGUGUGGCAAGUCUGAUGUGAAAGGCAUGGGCUCAACCUGUGGACUGCAUUGGAAACUGUCAUACUUGAGUGCCGGAGGGGUAAGCGGAAUUCCUAGUGUAGCGGUGAAAUGCGUAGAUAUUAGGAGGAACACCAGUGGCGAAGGCGGCUUGCUGGACGGUAACUGACGUUGAGGCUCGAAAGCGUGGGGAGCAAACAGG